UCUACGGGAGGCAGCAGUGGGGAAUAUUGGACAAUGGGCGAAAGCCUGAUCCAGCCAUGCCGCGUGUGUGAAGAAGGCCUUCGGGUUGUAAAGCACUUUCAGUGGGGAAGAAAGCCUUGGGGCUAAUACCCUCGAGGAAGGACAUCACCCACAGAAGAAGCACCGGCUAACUCCGUGCCAGCAGCCGCGGUAAUACGGAGGGUGCGAGCGUUAAUCGGAAUUACUGGGCGUAAAGCGCGCGUAGGCGGUCUGAUAAGCCGGUUGUGAAAGCCCCGGGCUCAACCUGGGAACGGCAUCCGGAACUGUCAGGCUAGAGUGCAGGAGAGGAAGGUAGAAUUCCCGGUGUAGCGGUGAAAUGCGUAGAGAUCGGGAGGAAUACCAGUGGCGAAGGCGGCCUUCUGGACUGACACUGACGCUGAGGUGCGAAAGCGUGGGUAGCAAACAGGAUUAGAUACCCCGGUAGUC
Molecule: ribosomal RNA, 465 nt
Filed under: Vreelandella stevensii
Lineage: Bacteria; Pseudomonadati; Pseudomonadota; Gammaproteobacteria; Oceanospirillales; Halomonadaceae
Description: partial 16S ribosomal RNA
Rfam family: Bacterial small subunit ribosomal RNA
Source: RNAcentral